Molecule: long non-coding RNA, 1395 nt
Organism: Cavia porcellus (domestic guinea pig)
Lineage: Eukaryota; Metazoa; Chordata; Mammalia; Rodentia; Caviidae
Exons: 4
Source: RefSeq, a predicted model, not a curated record
UGAGUCCACCCUAGGGGUCACUUACAAUAAACACAUUUUCCCUCAUCUUUCAAUUGGUGGAAUAUGGGAAACCACUUCACAGUGCUUCAGCCCCAAAGACUUUGAGGACAUGUAUGGACCUCACCUAAUUAAUUAGCAUAUGAACAGCAUGAACACAAUUCUAUAAGCAUGACUUAUCAUAGACAGCCAUGGAUAUGCUGAAGCUUGUAACAGUACACAAGAAUGCAUUCCCUGAUACAGAUGGAGAUAUAUAUAGAGAGAGACACUUGCUUACUGCUAUUGCUAAUGUUGGCUCAGGUGGUUUAUUUUCUCUGGGCAUCUUACCCACUAAAAUACCCAUUCACCUCCCUAACUCUGAGAAAAUCCCAUACCACAGACACAGGGAACUUUAAUACCCCACAAUACUAAAGUUGUGUGUGAUUAACAGCCCCUGUGCCCUGUUCCAAGGCAUUCAUCACAUCCUGAGGCACAAAUCUCUGUGGGGUACAACUUUAAAAAGAGAUCGAGUUUCAUGCCUGUGCCUUGGAGAUCAUUUCUUGAUCUAUGUGAUAGACAUUUGCCCCACUUCCAUACCUACUCUGUACCCCACAAGGCAUUAAAGUUCUCAAAUGUUCUGACCUGGACCUGGAACGUAGCUCCCCAAAGAGCAGACAUGCAGUUCUCCAGCAGACUGGUUGGAGCAUGGUCUCAGGUGAGUCAGUCCCAGGCUGGAGGCCAAGGACAAUAGUGUCUGUUGGCCCCACUCUCACACAAUGGAGCUUCUUACCAGAAUAUCUUAGCCUCCCUUGAUCCCUGAACCCGUGGGGACUCACUUUUUCUAUGUGUUAUAGUGUGUUAAAACCAGGCACAGCAUUAAGGCAUGGUAGUGACAACACAUGUCUAGCACAACCCCUCCUGAAGGUGGCUCCCCAUGGACUCUGCAAGCCAUCUAUUCUCAACAUAUUGUACCAUCUUGGAGCUGAUCACACUGAGAAAGUGCACAGAACAAGGGCAGGAGCAGGUGCUGGAUCCCACAGAGACUUUUUCUACCCUCCUUUUCCACUCCAAUCUUCCUUGGAACUUUGAAUGGAAUCAAAGGAGGAGGCACUGCAUGUGUAGCUGCCCAAAGUCUAGAUGUCACUGUUCUCUGCUGUCACCCAAAAGGAGUGAACAGCACCCAGACAGGAGAUGGCCCAAGGCUUACAUGUGUAUAACGUGCCACUGUCUCAGGGACUGACUCUCAGGAAAGUAUUAGUGAUACUUUGACAUGAAUGGCACUGAAACAGCUGGUUGCUCUGGGUAUCCUGAACAUUGUAACAACAUGAAUUCUUCCCAUCCACCAUCACAGUGUGUCUUUUCUUCUGUUAGUGCCAUUUCACUCAUUGCAUCAGUUUCUACAGUUUUUAAAGGAAAGGU